Molecule: long non-coding RNA, 124 nt
Organism: Thalassophryne amazonica
Lineage: Eukaryota; Metazoa; Chordata; Actinopteri; Batrachoidiformes; Batrachoididae
Exons: 3
Source: RefSeq, a predicted model, not a curated record
UUUUCACCACUACUGAAAUUUACAGACUAUAAGCCACUACUUUUUUCGUACGUUUUGAACACUGCGGCUUAAACAAUGAUUCGGCUAAUUUAUGGAUUUUUACAGGCUUUCAUGUCAUUUACUC